This 1124-nucleotide long non-coding RNA is filed under the name Marmota monax (woodchuck). The record is from RNAcentral. Lineage: Eukaryota; Metazoa; Chordata; Mammalia; Rodentia; Sciuridae.
GGGUGGGUGGAUGGAUGGGUGAAUGGAUGGAUGGGUGAAUGGGUGGAUGAAUGGAUGGAUAGAUGGAAAGGUAGAUGAAAAAUAGAUGAUAGAUAGAUAGAUAGAGAUAAUAGAGAGAGAGAGGGAUAGAGGAAUAAGGAACUGCUCUAGGGUCUGUGGCAGCUGAGCCGUCCCAGAGACAGUUGGCCGUGGGAGCUGCACUCCACUGGGGGCAGAAGAGUGAAGUGCCCUGCUCAGAAGCCAGGCAGAGUGGCUCUCCAAUGCUCAGCCCUUCCUCUGUCCAGGCCCUGAGCAGAUGUGAUGAGGCCCUACACUGGGGAGGCAUGCAUGUUGCCAAGUGUACUGGUCAAAUGCCAAUCUCAUCCAGAAACACCCUCCCAAACACAUCCAGAAAGGGUUUCAUCCGGCCAUCUCAUAGCCCCAUCAAGUUGACUCAAACCAAUGGCACUGACCUCUCCUCCUCCAUGCUGGCUGCUGCCCCCACUCCUCACAGGGCAGGCAGAUGGUCCUCAGUGGGACCACUGCCAUCCAGAUGGCGCUUGCCCUCCACCCUCCACCAUGAAGACCCACCCACACCUGCCUAAAGUCCUUAUAAGCCAUGCAGUGCCUUGGAGUGCUCACCCCAUCAUGCCCCCAUCUCCCCCAAGUCCCUAAGAGAAGUCACCACCUCUUUCUGGCCUCGGAGCACCAGGUUCUUCCUGCCAAGGUGCUGAUGGUGAGACCUGCUCUCCUGGCUGGGGCUCCAGGCAAGCCAUGGGGCAACUCUCCUGUCCUGGGGACGUGGCACCAAUUUAAAGGUCCGCUAAGCCUGUCUUCUCACAAGUUUCAGUAGGAGAAACCUUUCCUCAAAGAGGAGGCUUUCCCGGGAAACAGGAGGCUGUCCAAGGAGGACCUGCGGGCAGGCGGGGGUGCAGGCAGGGCAGCCCCUCCUCAGGACAGUCAAGGCGAUCAUGUUUUGCGUUUCUUCUUUCUUUAAAUUUACAAGAUCCAAAGGGGGGUGAUGGGUAACGUGAGAGUACUCUGCUUGUCUUCAACGCAGCUUCUGUCCAAAAAAGGUAAUUAUUGACUCUUCCUCUUCUGUUUUUCUGCCCGUUUGCUCUUGUUCCCCGUGUCAUUGCCUGGAU